UUAAGUUCAGCGGGUAUCCCUACCUGAUCCGAGGUCAAAAAUAGAAAAUAGCUUCUGGGAGCUGAUCCAAAGUCUCCGAGUUCGCGUUUCUGCUGCGCUCGAAGCCAAUGUACCGGCCGCCAAUGAAUUUAAGGCGAGUCCGCGCCGAGGCGGGACAGACACCCAACACCAAGCAGAGCUUGAAGGUUUAAAUGACGCUC
This 200-nucleotide unclassified non-coding RNA is filed under the name Sporormiaceae sp. RNAcentral describes it as "partial internal transcribed spacer 2". The record is from RNAcentral. Lineage: Eukaryota; Fungi; Ascomycota; Dothideomycetes; Pleosporales; Sporormiaceae.